Molecule: ribosomal RNA, 441 nt
Filed under: uncultured bacterium
Lineage: Bacteria
Description: bacterial SSU rRNA
Rfam family: Bacterial small subunit ribosomal RNA
Source: RNAcentral
CUACGGGAGGCAGCAGUUCAGAAUCUUGCACAAUGGGCGAAAGCCUGAUGCAGCGAUGCCGCGUGGGUGAAGAAGGCUCUCGGGUCGUAAAGCCCUGUCAGGGGGAACGAAUAAUGACGGUACCCCCUAAGGAAGCCACGGCUAAUUACGUGCCAGCAGCCGCGGUAAUACGUAAGUGGCGAGCGUUAUCCGGAAUCACUGGGCGUAAAGAGUGCGUAGGCGGUGCGGUAAGUUGGAUUUGAAAUCCCGGGGCUCAACUCCGGACCCGGAUCCAAAACGGCCGUACUAGAGCGGAUCAGAGGACAGCGGAAUUCCCGGUGUAGCGGUAAUAUGCGUAGAUAUCGGGAGGAACACCAGUGGCGUAGGCGGCUGUAUGGGGUCUUGAUGACGCUGAGGCACGAAAGCCAGGGGAGCGAACGGGAUUAGAAACCCUAGUAGUCC